ACGGAAGGCAGCAGUGGGGAAUAUUGCACAAUGGGCGAAAGCCUGAUGCAGCGACGCCGCGUGAGUGAAGAAGUAUCUCGGUAUGUAAAGCUCUAUCAGCAGGGAAGAAAAUGACGGUACCUGACUAAGAAGCCCCGGCUAACUACGUGCCAGCAGCCGCGGUAAUACGUAGGGGGCAAGCGUUAUCCGGAUUUACUGGGUGUAAAGGGAGCGUAGACGGUUUGGCAAGUCUGAAGUGAAAUGCGGGGGCUCAACUCCUGAACUGCUUUGGAAACUGUCGAACUAGAGUGCAGGAGAGGUAAGUGGAAUUCCUAGUGUAGCGGUGAAACGCGUAGAUAUUAGGAGGAACACCAGUGGCGAAGGCGGCUUACUGGACUGUAACUGACGUUGAGGCUCGAAAGCGUGGGGAGCAAACAGGAUUAGAUACCCUGGUA
This 434-nucleotide ribosomal RNA is filed under the name uncultured Clostridium sp. RNAcentral describes it as "partial 16S ribosomal RNA". It matches the Rfam family "Bacterial small subunit ribosomal RNA", at positions 341 to 792 of the family's 1533-position model. Lineage: Bacteria; Bacillati; Bacillota; Clostridia; Eubacteriales; Clostridiaceae. The record is from RNAcentral. RNAcentral also lists the same sequence under 1 other name.